ACAAAGGCUCUUUUCAGAGCCCCCACCUCCUCUGUACAAGGGCUG
Molecule: non-coding RNA, 45 nt
Organism: Xenopus tropicalis (tropical clawed frog)
Lineage: Eukaryota; Metazoa; Chordata; Amphibia; Anura; Pipidae
Source: Rfam